CAGUAGCCGCGGGAAUACGAAGGGUGCAAGCGUUACUCGGAAUUACUGGGCGUAAAGCGUGCGUAGGUGGUGGUUUAAGUCCGUUGUGAAAGCCCUGGGCUCAACCUAGGAAUUGCAGUGGAUACUGGGUCACUAGAGUGUGGUAGAGGAUAGUGGAAUUUCCGGUGUAGCAGUGAAAUGCGUAGAGAUCGGAAGGAACAUCUGUGGCGAAGGCGACUAUCUGGGCCAACACUGACACUGAGGCACGAAAGCGUGGGGAGCAAACAGGAUUAGAUACCCCGGUAGUCCCUGUCUCUUAUAC
Molecule: ribosomal RNA, 301 nt
Filed under: uncultured bacterium
Lineage: Bacteria
Description: partial 16S ribosomal RNA
Rfam family: Bacterial small subunit ribosomal RNA
Source: RNAcentral